RNAcentral lists this ribosomal RNA (301 nucleotides) under uncultured bacterium. Its description in RNAcentral is "partial 16S ribosomal RNA". It matches the Rfam family "Bacterial small subunit ribosomal RNA", at positions 509 to 807 of the family's 1533-position model. The record is from RNAcentral.
CAGUCGCCGCGGGAAUACGUAGGGUGCGAGCGUUAAUCGGAAUUACUGGGCGUAAAGCGUGCGCAGGCGGUUAUAUAAGACAGAUGUGAAAUCCCCGGGCUCAACCUGGGACCUGCAUUUGUGACUGUAUAGCUAGAGUACGGUAGAGGGGGAUGGAAUUCCGCGUGUAGCAGUGAAAUGCGUAGAUAUGCGGAGGAACACCGAUGGCGAAGGCAAUCCCCUGGACCUGUACUGACGCUCAUGCACGGAAGCGUGGGGAGCAAACAGGAUUAGAUACCCCCGUAGUCCCUGUCUCUUAUAC